This 102-nucleotide Y RNA is filed under the name Piliocolobus tephrosceles (Ugandan red Colobus). RNAcentral describes it as "Y RNA (ENSPTEG00000007760.1)". It matches the Rfam family "Y RNA". Rfam says of the family: Y RNAs are components of the Ro ribonucleoprotein particle (Ro RNP), in association with Ro60 and La proteins. Lineage: Eukaryota; Metazoa; Chordata; Mammalia; Primates; Cercopithecidae. The record is from Rfam by way of RNAcentral.
GGCCGGUCUGAGUGCAGUGGUGUUUACAACUAAUUGAUCACAACCAGUUACAGAUUUAUUUGUUCCUUCUUCACUCCCAUUGCUUCACUUGAUAAGCCUUUA